UUUUUCGAAAUUAUAAGGUUAAAAUACACAGAAUAGAAAACUCAUCAGCCAUUUGGGGAUUUAUUCAUCACACGAUCUAGGGUUGCUGGGUGGUGGACGACGGCUGCUGGGCGAACAGCGGCUCGGCGGCAGCUGGGUGAACGGCGACGGUGACGGUGGUGAACGCCUCCAGCAAGCGUGGGUUCUCGGCUCCAGCACUCUCGGCGUCGUUGACAGGAACGGUGACAGGAAAAUCUUCUCCGGCGUUGGUUCUCGGCUCCAGCACUCUCGGGGGCGGUGCGGGUUCUCGGCUCCAUCACUCUCGGCGGCGGUGCGGGUUCUCGGCGUGGGUCUCUGCUGGUUGCUGGUUGCUGGUUCACGAUUCCAGCAGGGAAAGACGGAUUCUGAGGCUAAAGCUGCUGCAGGGGUAUAGACAAUGCUCGUGCUGUAACCAAUCUGGUGACUGCUUGAUAAAGGUGUGAAUAUCCAGACUGUAAAUGGUUUGAUUAUGAUAUUAGAUAUAUGUAGUAUAUGUUAAACUUUAUCCCAACCAGGGACAAACUUAGGACCAUAAUCCAGGGUGGGCAAACUAUAAUACUUUAUUAGGAAAUGCUACCAAUUCAUCUGCCAAAAGCAACAAAUCCAUUACAAAGUUUAAAGGCUCUGAAAAAAGUCUCCAUAAUGGAAAAAAAGAUUGAUAUAGUAAAAUAAGAAUUGAGUAUCUUAUUCGAAGACUUUGACAAAACUUAAGAAAUAGAAAUACUUGAUAAAGCUGAUAUUGACUUUUAAAUAGGAUAAAUCAAUUUCACAACUCAUAACUUGGCAAAGUGGACACUUAGGUAUAAUAUACAGGGUGAAGUAUUGUUUUGGUUGUUGUAUGAGUGUUUUGGUAUAGCUGCAGUUGUAAAUUUUGUUUUGCUCAAAAAGUUGUACUCACUUAAUACAUUGUAUUUAUUGUUCUGUUAGUGUAAUAUGCUUGGUCUGCAUAAUUUAUUGAUUAGUGCAUUUUUUGUCACCGAGUAUUGCUUUAUACCACUGUUUUUUUUUUUUUUUGUAUCAAUUGUUUUGUAUAUGUCAUGCACUAUCUAUAUUUAUAUAAAAUUGAAAUAGGGUAGGCAAUAGACACUAAGUCUGGCUAUAUAUACAUAUAAGAUAUAUAUAUAUUUCAAAAAAUUGGUUGAAAAGUGGUUGUUGUUCUGAUUGUAUUUUUGUAACCUUUGAUUAUGUUUACAUGUUCAGCUUCAGUGGUAAAACUGCUAAAAAGUACUCAAAACAAUGGACAUGUUUGGUUAGCCUUACUGGUUUUAUUAGAGCAGAAAACAUAGAUUGAUAUGGAUUCAUAUUAUUGCUUAAUUUUGUGGUUAAACGUGUACUGUGUAAAGCCCAUUUUCUUCACUUUGUUUCAUUUCGUUUCAUUGAUUUGUAAUUUAGUUUUUUGAGAAGUUGAUUGGUUUUUUUGUACUCUUUCAAAUUCAUUUCAUUGUAUUCUUCUUUUGAGAUUUUGCAACUUGCAACAAUGAUUAACAUAUUCUAUUACACACCUAUAAUUAAUGUUGGAGUUCUUCACUUAUAGAUUUUAAUGUUUUUGCAGCAAGCACUUUUAUUAAAAGGUACGAAAAUAGUCUUAUUGAUAUAAUUUAUUUCUCUUGUUUUUGUUUUUAUACAUUUCUAAAAAUGUAGAGCUAGCUAGAUAGAUAAGAGUUAAUGAAAAGUAUUGCCUCGCCCACAUGAAUAAUUGUAUCAUUAUGUAGUAUAGCUAGAAUUAGAUAUACAUAUCCUUACUAGGACCUAUGUAUACCUACGAGCUCUGCAUAUAUUUGCUUUGUCAUCAAGUGAUAGAAAUAUUGGAUUAUGAAAUUUUACCUAGUAUAUCUAGGAAUAGGAGUGGACCUAGGUAGAGUGUUUCAAUUUCAUUCAUUUUAAUAUUAUUAAAAAAAUAGACAUAUAAUUAUAAACUAUUUUUGUAUAUCUGUAUAUUUUUUUUUUUCAGGUGCU
Molecule: long non-coding RNA, 1974 nt
Organism: Humulus lupulus (European hop)
Lineage: Eukaryota; Viridiplantae; Streptophyta; Magnoliopsida; Rosales; Cannabaceae
Exons: 2
Source: RefSeq, a predicted model, not a curated record